UCUCAUUCCCGGUUACUCACUCAACCUGGGUGUGAUGUGUGCACUAGUUGCUCGGCCCAUCACAACCUCCUUGAGUGAGCGAUCGUGGAGGAGG
RNAcentral lists this microRNA precursor (94 nucleotides) under Spodoptera frugiperda (fall armyworm). RNAcentral's name for it is "microRNA sfr-mir-307 precursor". Its record names the gene sfr-mir-307. It matches the Rfam family "mir-67 microRNA precursor family". Lineage: Eukaryota; Metazoa; Arthropoda; Insecta; Lepidoptera; Noctuidae. The record is from miRBase by way of RNAcentral.